Molecule: long non-coding RNA, 6445 nt
Organism: Dreissena polymorpha
Lineage: Eukaryota; Metazoa; Mollusca; Bivalvia; Myida; Dreissenidae
Exons: 10
Source: RefSeq, a predicted model, not a curated record
CAUCCGAUUUUAUUGGUUUAUACGUUAUCUUGUUGCUUAUUAAUUCCUCUUUCAAAAAAAUAUAACUUUUAGUAUAUUUACGUUGUUAUUAAUGGAUGUAUAGCGAGUUAAACACGAGAAAUACACAUUUUAUGUUUUACCCACGCGCGUUUAACCUUGUCGAUACUUUGUUACGUAACCAGUAGCUAUCGAUUAGUAGAAACGAAAGUAGCUCGCGGUCAUAACGCUCCGAACUGAUGCUACGGUCUUGGCGAUUAUGCUUUUGUUUAGCUGUAGGUGGAUGGUCCACGGCCGUCCACAAGCUCAAAUGACCAUAUAUGGAGAAAAAGGCGGGACCAAACCAAAUAGGCUUGCAAUGCGCAUGCCCGAGCAAAACCGAUUGUAAGCCAUGUUGAAUUGUUAGCGUGAAAAGAAAUAUUGGAUAUUUUAAUAUGAUGAGUAUUCUAGGUAGAGAAUAUGGAUAGUAUUACCAUUAUUAGUAUUACGUCAACAUUAACUCAACAAUUGUAUUGUUGACAUGAAGAAAAAGCUAUUUCGAGGUUGUUUUGACCAUUGAUUGCUAAUUGUUUCCCCUGGAAAAUUCGUCGAGUCAGUAUCGUAUGGGCAAUUUGGCAACGAUAUAAGGAAACAAAAAAAUUGCCGUAAAGAGACUGAUACCGAAAGUUGGUCGUAGUUUUCAAGAUGGCGUCUGUAAAUCUCCACGCGAGAAAUCGUAACGAAGACAAAAUAAUGUUAUUUUAUUGUUUUGACGAUGCAAAAGCUUACAUAAAAAGAAAUGAAAUUGAUACGAAUAACCUACAUAAUUGGUUACAGCACAAAAACCUUUGGUAAUUCAGAUCGUACCCGCGCCAUGUCGUACCGGACUUGUCUUCAUUUGUAACAAAUGUAAAAUAUAACUUCUGUGAUUGAUCAUAAUCAUAAACUUAAAAGCUAAGAGAACAUGACUGACAAAGAUCUAUUGGACAGUGAUUAUGAUGGGAUUUCACAAAUACAUGAGCACAGUUACAUUGUGAUAUCGGACUCUGACGAGACACAACCACCUUCACCUUUUGGUUGACAGGAAUAUUCCAGUGAAAGAUCAGUUGUUCAACAGCCUUUUUGACAAACAAAUUCCUGGUGCUGCCAUUCCUAAUCAACCGACAUAUCAGAAUUUUGGAUAAGAAUUCAGAUUACUGGCUGCAUAUUCAACCGAAUUUUUGGGUCCUGGGUUGGUGGGGGGUAACGUGUUUCAGACCAGAAUCCUGCCGGACCAUCCAAUUGCAAGGACAUCUAACAUAGCUGAAAUGUAUCUGUAAUGAAUUAUUAAAAGUUUGGAUAAAAAAUGUGUUCUUAAAUCAUUAUUUUAAACAAAUUAUACACCCAGGUUGACUAUUUUGAAAAAAUGAAAAAUGACAAUUUUUACACAUGGGAUUUUUCAAUGUUUCCGCAUUCACUAACAUUACUUUAGACAAUGUAAGAUAGACAAACCAUACAUAUUUGGAAAUGGUUUACUAAUAUCUAUCAGAAAAUGUAUAAUUUUACUGGGUUUAUGUCAAUUUUCAAAAUCAGUGGUUAUUGCUAAAAAGAGAGACAUGUUAAUCUAUAAAAAAUAGUUGGUUUGAAAGAAACACAUUUAGCUUUCCUUUUUGUUUUCCUUACAAUAUUGACACUGGGACCAUUGACACGACCGUUUAGUAGACCUUCGUCGAGUCAGUAUUGUAAGGACAAUUUGGCAACAUGGUUAGGAAACAAAAAUUUUGCUGUAAAGAUACUGCUACCGCAUGUUUGUCAAAGUUUUCAAGAUGUCGUCUGCCAAUCGUCACACGAGAAAUCACAAUGAAGACAAGAUACUUUUAUUUAAUUGUUUUAACGAUGCAAAAGCACAAAUUUAAAAACAUCAAAUUGAUAGUAUAAUCGUUAAAUAAUCGGUUAUAGAACCAAAAAAUUCGGCAUUUCCAUUUUUGUUUUCCUUACAAUAUUGACACUACCGUUUUGUAGACCUGACUAGAGUGAAUAUUAUUAAUGAAAUUGUUGUCAAAUAUUAUCAAUUAUAAGUUGAAGAGAAAUACAAUUACCUUCCAUUAUUGUCAUUUUGAAUACAUUGAAUCGAGCUCUGAUUAUUUAACAAAUUAUCAUUCAAGUACUUUUUAAAUAAACACAGUAAACUUCUAAUGGAAAAUAACAGUAUCAACUGUUAGCAAUUCAGCGUACAUUGUUCUGCAUGCACUUAUUUUAAUUUAUUUAUUAUUAAGUAACAGCAGUGCAAUCUGUAAAUACUGUUCUGGAUGCAUGGAUAUUUAUACCCAGGUGAUGAUGGCCAUGUAUUCACAGCCAUGGCAACACAGGGGCAUUAAGCAGCGUUUUCUCAGUAUUUGAUUACUAUGUUAAUCACUUGAAUUUGUACCAAAAAGCGUAUGUCCUUCAAGAUGAGCCAUGUUAGAGCAAAAUAUUAAAAAAAUUGUGAAUAUGUUAUUAUUUUUUAUUCACCAUUUACUAAAUUAAUACUAAAUUUACACUGGCACCUAUAAAUUCUGCCACACUCAUAUAUUUCUUAAAUGAUGAAAUGUUUGCAAUACACUAUGGUAUUAAUUAUUUUUAUACAAUAAGUUUGUAAAGACGUUAUCAAAUCUAUUUAGCUUUUAUGUGGCCUGAAUAUUUAUCACAACGGGUAAGUAGAAAAAAGCAUGCCUCACAGAUAGCUUUUUACUUGCAUUAAUAUUUUGACUUAAAAAAAUGAAAGAAUUUUUCCCCAAUUGAUAAAGUAUUGUUCAUUCCCAUAUCCUGUCACAAAAUUCCUUAUUAAUUGUCUUUCAAAAAUCAAAAAAGUUUUAAAAUGAAGACUUAUAAAGGUGAAAACAUUUGUACUUUCUCUUUUUUUAAGAACAAUGUGAUUCUAUGUACCUUUAUCAACUAUUGUAAUGCCCCCAGUUUGAAUGAUCGGGGGUAUAUUGUUUUUGGCCUGUCUGUCUGUCAUUCUGUCCCAAAACUUUAACCUUGGUAACCUUGCGAUAACUUUUGAAAUAUUAACUUAUGAAAUAUUGAACAUAUCAACUUGAUAUUUGGCAUGCACGUGUAUCUUGUGGAGCUGCACAUUUUGAGUGGUGAAAGGUCAAGGCCAUCCUUUAAGGUCUAAGGUAAAACAAAAAUCAAAGCGGCGCAAUAGAGGGCAUUGUGUUUCUGACAAACACAUCUCUUGUUCCUAUUAAAUGAAUGAAUUCAUGAUAUGGAUUUUUUGUUUAAUUUCAAUUUUUUGUGUUUUUUAUAUAAAGUGUAUACAUAAGCAGAAAAUAAAAAAAAUCUGUUUUGAUGAAUAAUUUCAGUUUUUACUUCAUCCUCCCAUAAGGUUUGUUGGGUCCAUGGGGUGAACCCUUAUAUGUAUGUGAGCCUUGGACAUCAGGUUCUGAAAUGCCACCAUGGUACAGACAAGAAUAAGAAGAGAAAACUGGAAAAGGAGAAGACAAAGACAGUUAGCAGUGAGCAACAUUCAUAUGCUAAAUAGAAAACAAGGCAUGCAGUGCAGCUCUCCAAAAAAUUGGACUGUCCUGCUUCUAUCAUUCUGAAGGAAGUGUUGAUAUUCACCCCUGAAGAGGGUUCAUCAAGCGAGCUGGACAAAAAAAUGGCUGCUUCUAAUGUGAGGAGUGAUCUGAGUAAAGGCAUCAAGAAGAUAAUGGUGGUGUUUCCUAACAUCGAACACAAGUACCAUACAAGUGGAGAGAACGCUGGGCUGUUGCAACGUAUCGACAGUGAUGUUGCCUCAAAAAUUAAAGAACUUGUGGUGGAAGAGGGCGUUGCAAAUGUUGAAGAAAUGCAACGCCAUCUGACCUCAUUUGUUAUGAAGAAUGUAACACCUGCUCCAUCAAGAACUAAAAGGAGAUUUGCCCCUACAAAAAAGUGAUCAGAUAUCACAUGAAUAAGGCAGCAAAGAAGGGUUGUGAUAGCAAUGAUGACCAACACAACUUGGUUCAGCUUGUGAGUGUGCUUAGUGUGUAAUUAACAGUUACUUCAAUACAGAUAUAUAUAUUUAUCACAUGCCAUACCCUGCUUCCCCUUGUAAUAUAACCAUUACGAAUAUUUUUAUCUUACACAUGUGUAAUAUACUUUUUAAGGAUUUUCAUUGGCUUAUUUUCGUUUGAUUGACCAAUCGCAUUUUGUUAUGUUGCUGAAAUAACAUUGCAACGUCAAAUGACGUCACGAAAUGUAAACAACAUUUCGGAUUUAUCAUUAAGUUUGCGAAAAUAUUUUAAUAAUUUUUUGUGUCCGGAGCCAUAUCUUGGAAGUGCUUUGGCGGAUGUCAUUGAAACUUGGUAUGAGUAUAAAUAUGGAUAAGAGGAUGAUACAUAACAUUUGACAGAGUUAUACAUCUCAUUAAGCAAAAUUUAAGAAAUUGUGUUAUUAUAUUUUCAUCUAUUACUUUUCGGCCUAAGAUGCUAAGGUCAUACAUUGUUUUGUAAACGAAACAUGCGACAUAAUUUUCCUUUAUCAUUUACAUUUGUUGUAAAUAGUGAGCAUAUUAAAAUUCUGAUGUCUGAUAUUAGUUUGCCUCUUGUGAAUAGAUUUGUACCAUUGUUUUGUUAAAUGGACCUUUUCACGUUUUGGUUAAUUGACGAAAUUGAUUUUUUUUCAGAUUUCAAAAUUUUCGUUGUAGUUUUAUUUUAGCGAGGAAUCAGUAAUACUGAACAUUUACUAAGCUCUACAAUAUUACAGUAUUUGCAUAUUUUGAUGAUUUAAACACAUUAAAAAUUUAAAGCAUUAUGAAGGAAUAAUUUGGCGAGUUCUGUUGUUAUCAUUAUAUUUUGUGACAGUACGAUGAUUGCUGAUAUAAAUAAUAACAUAAACAUAUUACUUACUAUACGAUCACAGAUGGGCGAGUUGUUUAAGUUCUAGUGUUUUACUCAAAUGGUCAGUUGUUUAAGACUAGUUAAGGAUAACUUUUUUAUCUUUGAUUUUGUUCUUGUUUAAUUAUGGAGCUAUUUAAUUCCGAUGUAAACAUUUAUCUUUUUACAUUAUUUUAUUUAUUUCAUCAUUUUUAUUUUUAAAACUUCAACACAUGCCAAAAUCCGUGAAAAUAUCCAUAUACAGGUAUGCGUUUAUAAUUGUGGCAUCAUUUACGUCAAUUUCUUUAAACUAUGACUUUUUCCCUUCGCACCAAGACAAGAAUAUUAAUUGAUUAAACCAAUGGUUAUUGUUUGCUUUUGAAUGUCUUGCUAUUGAACAUUUGAUAAUCUUAUCCGGAGGUUGUUGCUUUCCCGGGAUUUUAUUUUUGUUUUGUUAAUUUAUUAAUUUUCCAGCGUUUAGAAAUGUCAUGUUUUGCUAACAUUUAUAAAUGUAUUUAUACUUUUAUUCGCACUUUGAUCGUAGUACUUUCAUGUUUGGCUUUCUUUCACAUGGAACGAGUGUUCAUUUUAUUUUAUAAAUAUCAUCUACGGUUGAGUGGUUCGAUUUAACUUCUUUAAUUUAAGACGCAUUCUGCAGAAUACACCAAAAAUAUCGGGUUUGAUGAACCUUAUAUAUUUAAUGUUGUGCCUUUCUGUUAUUAAUACGCUCUCCUUUUCUAUAUUUUGUAAUUCGUCUGCAAAACAAAAGCGUUCAUAUUUGCGCUCUUUUAUUGCUAUUUUAUAUUUUUUCUUGAUAAAAAAUCAAUGCAUUUUUUAGCAUUUGCGUAUAACCAUAGUUUAUUCGAUGUUAUGGUAUGAUUUUCUUGAAACGAGAUGGUUUGCCACAAACGUGAAUGGCAGCAAUGUAUAGAUUGUGUGUAAACCAUUUCACCAUUUCUCCCAUUUCACCUUGAAUCAGUAAAUAUUAAAGAUGAAGUUCGUGUAAAUAAUGCGUUGUUAAAACGUCAAUUUUAUCUGCAUUUUAGGAGACGUAUGAUGUUAACUGUGUAUAGUUGUGAAAUUAACCAUAUUCGUCAUUAUCGCAUUAGUUAUGGCGACACUCUUCAAAGAUGAUCUUAAAAUACUUAAAGUUGUAAUUAUUGUUUAUUUGUAACCUUUUAAGUCUAGUCCGGGUUUUCGCAACAAAUAAAUUUAACCAAACAUAGGACUGCACUCAACAGCACUUAUGUGGCCAAGGAUGGUUAAAUCUCAUAGAUGUGUGUUCAUAUUGAAAUACCAUAUAAAGUUGUAUAUAUUUAUGUAUGCAUGCAUGUAUGUAUGUAUGUAUGUAUGUAAUGAUAUACAUAAUAGAUAUAUUUAGUCUUAUAGCCUAACAAUUGAUCCAUAUGCAUCACGCACAUUUACCAAUAAGGUGUACUCCUUUUUAUCAUGUUAAUGUCAUUGAUUAAAAAAGUUGCAAUAUUAUAUGAAAUCAUGUUUUCCCUUCAUAAACAUACCAUGUUAACCAGUUCAUAACAAUAUCGUCCAUUCUUUAUCUUCUACCAUCACUUAUAAAUAAAUUGUAUAAUCCAUAUAUAAUGUAAGCUAUGAGCUUGUAUAAGCUUUGUUGCUGAAUAAAUGUUGUUCUUGUU